This 352-nucleotide long non-coding RNA is filed under the name Gossypium raimondii (Peruvian cotton). Its description in RNAcentral is "long non-coding RNA (GRAI_LNC010852)". The record is from RNAcentral. Lineage: Eukaryota; Viridiplantae; Streptophyta; Magnoliopsida; Malvales; Malvaceae.
UCAAAUGUUAGAAAUCUGCUUGGAAGUUAGGAAUUUAAUUAACGUUGUUCUUUUUUCUUUAAUUUUUUUAUUUCUUUCUUCUUCAUCACUUUAUCUUCUUCUUCGUUCUUUUUCAUCUUAUUUUAUUUUGCUAAUCGGAGUCGUGGGGGAAUAUGGGAUUAACGAAAAUUUUGUUGUUAGUCGCUGGUCAGAAGGCUAUCAGGUAAGUAACUGUCAAUGUAAGCGUUUUUGCGGUUUUUUCCGUUUUUGUAACUUGCUUUGAAUUGGGUAUUUUAUGAGUUGCCAGAAUCUCUGAUAAACGAUCAUUUGUUUCCCUAAUAGGCAAGAAUAUUAGCAAUAAGGAAUAGCAACA